Non-coding RNA from Penaeus vannamei (Pacific white shrimp), 446 nucleotides. NCBI's taxonomy places the organism in Eukaryota, Metazoa, Arthropoda, Malacostraca, Decapoda, Penaeidae. The record is from RefSeq and is a predicted model, not a curated record.
CUGCGGCGCCGACCUGUCUCCCGGCCAAGAGCUCAUCUCCGAAGGCCGCGACAUGUUCAUCGUCUUCCGCGGGAAAUAUGGCUACGUAAAGGGGUUUUCGGCUCGGCUGGACUUCGUCGAGGGGAAGAGGACGGAGAGCGGAGGAUGCGAGGAAUCGACAGGGGAAAUGGGAGAGGAAGAAGGCGGAGCAGGAGAACGAAGAGGAGGGAGAGAAGGAGUAGGAGGAAGUGGCGACGUUGAUGGCGGGAAUUCGCUGUUAUGAUGAGUAACAUCGGAAAUCGACGAAUUCAUUUCCUGCAAGGAGUUUCCCCGUCGAUGCUGAACAGAAGCUUUGCAGUGUUGGAACUUGGUUGGUAUUUGCAAUUGGCAAUAAGAAUGGUUAUGAUGGUUCAUCGUGAUGAGUGGAAACUACAGAAGUACUGCAAAUAAAUGCUGAUAUUGAAUGA